AAUUACUUUUACAGUGACACGUGGGCCCCCAACUGACUAAGAAGAUGUAGGGCUACGAACCCUUACUUUCUAGGAUGCAACUUUGAGAUUAAUUCUCGUCUUAAUCAACUAUCAAAAAAUUGUCCUGAGCCUGAAAAAUGGAUAGGAAGAGAGGUGAGAUUAUGAUUACAUAAUCUCAGUGAGUAAACAAUUACCAUCAAAAGCAUUAAAAGCCGAGUAGAUGGAGACAAUAUAAAAACGUUAUAUCUCAAUAAUGUUCAUAACACAAAAUUCGUUUCAAUCUAUACCAAACAAUUUCUUUUCAUCAAAAUUUCCCGACUUAUGAAUUUCUUAAACUUGGCCCCUGCCAGAAUCAUUCUCACGGGUACCUUCGUCAAGGUAUCCCACUAAGAUCGCCAAGGCUGUUCAAUGACCCAUACCCAUAAACAUAUUUUCACAUCUAACACACAGCCAUUCCUUGGCAUUGGUUGAGUCUCACUCUCACGUGGUGGCCCGAACGUGAGGUGCACUCAAAUCAUAGCUCAGGAGAUACUUCACCUAACAUCUCCCCCCGGAGGUAAGUAUAUAAUUGAGUUAUCGUGCCCCUCUCAUAGGUAUUCCAUGGAAACCCCCACCACUGCAGUGACCGUUUAAUAUACCACCAGACCCAUAAAAAUUCCAGUAACAUAAUGUGGCAAAUAAAAUGUAAUCCACUCUACCGAGACCAAUCAAAAACUAUUCAUAUAUUUCAUGCCAAGCCCAAAAAUUUAGCCAUCAUGCUACCAUAGUGUCAUAAGCCCCAAUUUCAAUAACAUAUAAAAUCAUAAAUUUCAACACAGUCUCCAUAUACUCAAUUUUCCCAAAACAAUAUAUGAUUUCAAAACCAGAAUAAAUUUCAUUUUUAUUAAAAAAACAUUUUAAUUAGAAAACAUAAUAUUUUAUAAUUUAAGCUCACCAUUCAAUAAAAACAUCAAACAAGUAUAAUUACUCUAGAUAUUUAAGACGAUAAAUUGUCCACUCACAGUUCUAGGAGUUGAUAUACUCCUAACCCCAAUCUUCAAGCACAAUCUCUGUAUUUUUACCAGUGUAAUUUGCUCACCACCUAUCCACAAUGUACAAUACAUAAUUCACCACAUUAAUGCUUGACCAUUAUAAAAUCAAUUCAGGCUCGGUGUAUAUGCAUGAUAUGACAUGCAACUUAUCCGACUACAGCUUAAAUGCGGUGUUGACCUAAUUCGGCCUAUUAUCUCCAAUUUAACUCCAAAUCAAUUUUUCUCACUUUCUACACUCCAAUUAUACUUAAAUUACCUUAGUGACUGUGAAUGAGAUUCAAUUUAUCAGUCCCGAUAGCAAAUUACAAAAAUACCCCUAGUGGGUAAAAAUUCUUAUUUUUGCUCCGAAAAUUCCCAUUAGUUUUCUAGGCUCAUAAUUCAUCAUUAUUCAUCAUAAUUCCUCAAAUAAACAUCAAGAUCAUCAGCUAAUAUUCCCCUAGAAAUUCGGCCAAUAAUGGUACACUAAUUUCGUGAUUUUUCCUACUUAAUUUUCUCUCCAUAAUUCAUUAAUUCCUACACCAAAAACUAUUAUUUCUUAAUCAAAUCACCCAGAAUAACAUCCCAUUCUUCCUCUUUAUUCACUUAGAGAAUUCGGCUAUUGAUGGGUUCCAAACCUUUUGUGGUUUUCUUCACUUGUUUUCAUGCUACACAUCAUUAAUCACCUAAAAACACUAACAUACCUAAAAAUCAAACCAAUCCAAGAUCAUUCUCUCUCCAUACCCAUUUUGACCAGCCAUGAAUUCAUCAUGAAAACAUGUAAUUUAACCAUGGAAAUUAAGGAAAAAUGCAUGGGUAAGGUAAAUCACUAGCAAAAUCAAAGAAAUUUUACCUUUGCUUGAUCAAAUCCUUGAAUUCCAACACUUUUUCUUUGAUUUUUCCCACCUAGGGUUUGUUCUUCCUUGGUUUCUCUUCUCUUUUGGUUUGGCUGAUCACU
RNAcentral lists this long non-coding RNA (1965 nucleotides) under Theobroma cacao (cacao). Its description in RNAcentral is "long non-coding RNA (TCAC_LNC003938)". The record is from RNAcentral. Lineage: Eukaryota; Viridiplantae; Streptophyta; Magnoliopsida; Malvales; Malvaceae.